AGAGUUUGAUCCUGGCUCAGGACGAACGCUGGCGGCGUGCCUAACACAUGCAAGUCGAGCGGAGACAGUGAGUAGCUUGCUAUGAGCUGUUUUAGCGGCGGACGGGUGAGUAACGCGUGAGCAACCUUUCCCAGACAGGGGAAUAACACACCGAAAGGUGUACUAAUACCGCAUAAGACCACGGGAUCACAUGGUUCUGGGGUUAAAAAGAUUUUAAUCGGGUUUUGGGGUUGGGCUCGCGUCCGAGUAGGUAGUUGGUGAGG
This 263-nucleotide ribosomal RNA is filed under the name uncultured bacterium. Its description in RNAcentral is "partial 16S ribosomal RNA". It matches the Rfam family "Bacterial small subunit ribosomal RNA", at positions 8 to 257 of the family's 1533-position model. The record is from RNAcentral.